Molecule: long non-coding RNA, 4758 nt
Organism: Salvelinus fontinalis (brook trout)
Lineage: Eukaryota; Metazoa; Chordata; Actinopteri; Salmoniformes; Salmonidae
Exons: 2
Source: RefSeq, a predicted model, not a curated record
GGUGGGUGUGAGGGUUAGGGGCUCCUUCUCCUGGGCAGGCAGGGCCCAUUGAUGUGGUGGCUGUGGGAGUGGUAGAGACGCAUGAAGGACAGGAUGGAGUGAGUCAACCACAGUGCUGUCACAUUCCACAGAGCGACCUGGAGAGAAAGAGAAACAUUAUUAUAAGUAUAUAUGAUUAGUAUUAUUAGAGAGAGAGAGAGAGAAGGAGCACGAGGAAGGGGUAGGGGGAAAUAGAGAGAGGAGAGAGAGUACAGAGAGGGAGAGAGAGAAGGAGCACGAGGAAGGGGUAGGGGGAAAUAGAGAGAGGAGAGAGAGAACAGAGAGGGAGAGAGAGAAGGAGCACGAGGAAGGGGUAGGGGGAAAUAGAGAGAGGAGAGAGAGAACAGAGAGGGAGAGAGAGAAGGAGCACGAGGAAGGGGUAGGGGGAAAUAGAGAGAGUACAGAGAGGGAGAGAGAGAAUACUUGACAUUGAGGAAAUUAAAACAACCUCUGUCAACGUGUACAAGUCUGGGACAGUAAUGGUGCAGGGAAUCCUCAUGCAGUUCCAGCAGGACUUUUACGGGAUCAAAGAGAGAGCACAGCAGGAAAAGCUGUCUCUCUGUGACGACUCCCCCAUUCCGACAAGAUCAGGAGGGCGGAAGGUGGAGACAUGGUACAGCUAACAGCACUGAAAGAGGAGGUGAGAAAGCUGAAGUGUGACAGAGAGCAGGACACUCCCCCAGAGAAACCAGCAGAACAGCCCAACUCAGACCCGGACCACAACCUCAACACUAAACAGGGACAGACAACACAGGACGCACCAACCCAACAGACCCCACCCCCUCCUAACAGCCCCCCUGUCAGCUCCCCUGAUAGCUCUCCUGCCAACCUCUACACAUCCACUGAGGACAAACAAAAGCCAGAAAUUGUGCUCCUCAUUGACUCAAAUGGCAAAUAUAUUCAAGAGAAUAAACUUUUUCCCAAACUCAAAGUGGCUAAACUCAUGUGCCAAACACUAGGCACGCCUUAGAGCUGUUGUCAGAGGACAGACUAGGGUCCCCCAGCCACAUUAUAAUUCACACGGGCACAAACGACCUGAGGGCCCAGCAGGAAAGGGUGAAAAAAAAAUGAUUCUACAUUCCCCAACACACAAGGGGUUUUCUCCACCCUGCUACCACCCCCAGGUGGCAAGGGUAGGCAACGAAUCGUCUGUCACACUGAUCCUCAACACUGGGGCCCCUCAGGGGUGUGUACUUAGUCCCCUCCUUUACUCCCUGUUCAUCCACGACUGCGUGGUCAAACGUCACUCCAACACCAUCACUAAGUUUGCUGACAACACAACAGUGGUAGGCCUGAUCACUGACAACUGACAACGAUGAGACAGCCUAUAGGGAGGAGGUCAGAGAACUGGCAGUGUGGUGCCAGGACAACAACCUCUCCCUCAAUGUGAGCAAGACAAAGGACCUGAUCGUGGACUAUAGGAAAAGGCGGGCCGAACAGGCCCCCAUUAACAUCAACGGGGCUGUAGUGGAGCGGGUCGAGAGUUUCAAGUUCCUUGGUGUCCAAAUCACCAACGAUCUAUUAUGGUCCAAACACACCAAGACAGUCAUGAAGAGGGCACGACAAAACCUUUUCCCCCUCAGGAGAAUUAAAAGAUUUGGCAUGGGUCCCCAGAUCCUCAAAAAGUUAUACAGCUGCACCAUCGAGAGCAUCCUGACCGGUUGCAUCACCGCCUGGUAUGGCAACUGCUCGGCAUCUGACGUAAGGCGCUACAGAGGGUAGUGCGUACGGCCCAGUACAUCACUGGGGCCAAGCUUCCUGCCAUCCAGGACCUAUAUAAUAGGCGUGUCAGAGGAAAGCCCAUAAAAUUGUCAGAGACUCCAGUCACCCAGUCAAACAGUCAUAGACUGUUUUCUCUGCUACCGCACGGCAAGCGGUACCGGAGCGCCAAGUCUAGGACCAAACAGCUCCUUAACAGCUUCUACCGCCAAGCCAUAAGACUGCUGAACAAUUAAUAAAAUGGCCACCGAACUAUUACAUUGACCCCCCCCCCCUCCAUUUGUUUUGUACACUGCUGCUACUCGCUGUUUAUUAUCUAUGCAUAGUCCCUUAACCCCUACCUACAUGUACAAAUUACCUCUAACAUGUACCUCCACACACUGACUCGGUACCGGUACCCCUGUAUAUAGUCUCCACACUGACUCGGGUACCGAUACCCCCUGUAUAUAGCCUCCACACUGACUCGGUAUCGGUACCCCCUGUAUAUAGUCUCCACACUGACUCUGUACCGGUACCCUCUGUAUAUAGCCUCCACACUGACUCGGGUACCGAUACCCCCUGUAUAUAGCCUCCACACUGACUCGGUACCGGUACCCCCUGUAUAUAGCCUCCACACUGACUCGGUACCGGUACCCCCUGUAUAUAGCCUCCACACUGACUCGGUACCGGUACCCCCUGUAUAUAGCCUCCACACUGACUCGGUACCGGUACCCCCUGUAUAUCGCCUCGUUGUUAUUGUGUUAUUAGGUUACUUUGUAUUAUUUUUUUUCUUUCGUUUAUUUGUCAAAUAUUUUCUUAACUCUUCUUGAACUGCACUGUUGGUUAAGGGCUUGUAAGUAAGCAUUUCACAGUAAGGUCUACACUUGUAUUCGGCGCAGGUGACAAAUAAAGUUUGAUUUGAUUUGAAAAUACAUUCACCUUGCCACUAUACAGCGGGUGAGUGCAAGAAUUUCCUGGGACUGUGCCUCAAAACCUAAUGUCUACCUGGUCCACCACUCCACCCUGGCCUUGAACGGCCUCCCAACUUUUGUCAGGACCCUAAAGGACGUCACCCUCAACCACAGCCCCAGCACCUCACACAGGAGCAACAGAGCAACGGACACCCCGCCCAGACCAGUGAGACACCUUCCCAGACCUGCAAGACCCCCUCCCGAAGGACCUGCACCGAGAGAAAGCACGCCAAGAGGACCUGCACCCAGACCACAGCUUCACCAACCACACCCCGACCAGCUGAGACCACCCCAAACAAACCCCGGCCACACGCUAUAUAGGCCCUCCCAGAUCAGACCUAUGCCCCUUCUGCCCCUCAUGUCCCCCGCCCCUGCAGCAAGGACCUCAGCAUGACAGCUGCACAUAUGCCCAGGCCAUGAGCAUAGCAACAGGCCCAAUCCCCACUACUGCACCCCCCAAGCCCCAUCCUGUGACCUAAGAGUUAUGUAUCAGAUGCUCAACAUGCUCUGCUCACACCUACUGUGAUGGUCCGGGCAUAAACCACACAAAAACAACACUAGACACUAUGGAACACAAAGCUCUUACGAUCUCAUCCUGGAAUAUACAAGGUCUGCGGUCAUCUGCCUUUGGCCUAAAGAGCAGGAACACAGACUUCAUCAAAGAAAUUGGAAAUACAGACAUUGUCAUCCUACAAGAAACAUGGUAUAAAGGAGAAAGACCCACUGGUUGCCCUCUAGAUUACAGAGAGCUGGUAGUCCCAUCCACCAAACUACCAGGUGUGAAACAGGGAAGAGACUCAGGGGGUAUGCUAAUUUGGUAUAGAGCAGACCUAACCCACUCUAUUAAAUAUGUCAAAACAGGAACAUUUUACAUUUGGCUAGAAAUGAAUAAGGAAAUGAUCUCAACAGAGAAAAAUUUCCUCACGUGUGCUACCUACCAUAUAUCCCCUCAAUAGAAUCCCCAUACUUUAACAAUGACAGAUUCUUCUUUCUAGAGGGGGAGAUCAACAAUUUCCAGGCCAGGGGACAUGCAUUAGUCUGUGGCAACCUAAAUACCAUAACUGGACAAGAACCUGACACCCUCAGCACACAUGGGAACAAACACCUACCUGGAGGUGACAGCAUUCCCUCCCCCAUAUGUCCCCCUAGACACAAUUAUGACAAAACAACCAACAAAAAUGGGUUACAACUCCUGCCGCUCUGUCGCACGCUGGGUCUGUACAUAGUCAAUGGUAGGCUUCGAGGGGACUCCUAUGGCAGGUACACCUAUAGCUCACCCAUUGACAGUAGUACUGUAGAUUACUUUAUCACCUCAACCCAGAGUCUCUCAGAGCGUUCACAGUCAGCCCACUAACACCCCUAUCAGAUCACAGCAAAUCACAGUCUUCCUGAACAGACCAAUACUCAAUCAUUGUCACGCCCUGACCAUAGAGAGCUGCUUAUUCUCUAUGUUGGUUUGGGCGUGACAGUGACUAGGGUGGGUUAUCUAGGUGAAUAAUGAUCUAUGUUGGCCUGGUAUGGUUCCCAAUCAGAGGCAGCUGUUUAUCGUUGUCUCUGAUUGGGGAUCAUAUUUAGGCAGCCAUUGUGCUUUGUGGGAUCUUGACUAUGUUUUUGUGUAGCUGCCUGUGAGCAGUCCAGAACGUCACGUUUCGUUUCUCUUCUGUUUUGUUUGGUGAGUUUCAUGUUUAUUUAACAUGUGGAAUUCUACGCACGCUGCGACUUGGUCCAAUCAUUAUGACGAUCGUGACAAUCAUGAGACAUCAAUGCUAAAGGAACUACACAAUAUUAAGAAAUGCUAUAGAUGGAAGGAAAGUAGUGUAGAAACCUACCAAAAAAGAAUUAGGCAACAAAAAUUCAAGCCUUUUUAGACAACUUUUUUUUUUUUUUUAAGGUCUGAGGCCUUUUGCCUUUUGGUGGGCCGUCAUUGUAAAUAAGAAUUUGUUCUUAACUGACUUUCCCAGUUAAAUAAAGGCUAAAUAAAUACUUUGUUUAUCCAUUUCACUUGCUGUAAACAUAUGUUUCCCAUGCCAAUAAAGCACCUUGAAUUGAA